This 492-nucleotide ribosomal RNA is filed under the name uncultured bacterium. RNAcentral's name for it is "partial 16S ribosomal RNA". It matches the Rfam family "Bacterial small subunit ribosomal RNA", at positions 29 to 507 of the family's 1533-position model. The record is from RNAcentral.
AGUGAACGCUGGCGGUAGGCCUAACACAUGCAAGUCGAACGGCAGCACAGUAAGAGCUUGCUCUUACGGGUGGCGAGUGGCGGACGGGUGAGGAAUACAUCGGAAUCUACUUUUUCGUGGGGGAUAACGUAGGGAAACUUACGCUAAUACCGCAUACGACCUACGGGUGAAAGCAGGGGAUCUUCGGACCUUGCGCGAUUGAAUGAGCCGAUGUCGGAUUAGCUAGUUGGCGGGGUAAAGGCCCACCAAGGCGACGAUCCGUAGCUGGUCUGAGAGGAGGAUCAGCCACACUGGAACUGAGACACGGUCCAGACUCCUACGGGAGGCAGCAGUGGGGAAUAUUGGACAAUGGGCGCAAGCCUGAUCCAGCUAUACCGCGUGGGUGAAGAAGGCCUUCGGGUUGUAAAGCCCUUUUGUUGGGAAAGAAAAGCAGCAGGUUAAUACCCCGCUGUUCUGACGGUACCCAAAGAAUAAGCACCGGCUAACUUCGUG